Pan troglodytes (chimpanzee) is the source of this 3186-nucleotide long non-coding RNA. RefSeq lists it as uncharacterized. The record is from RefSeq and is a predicted model, not a curated record. The transcript is spliced from 4 exons. NCBI's taxonomy places the organism in Eukaryota, Metazoa, Chordata, Mammalia, Primates, Hominidae.
AGUUGAAUUACUAGGAACAAGUCAAGAAGCCUCAAAAGAAUCAAGGCGUAAAAUACCAAGAACCUACUGGAGAAUAUAUAUUCCAUCAAAAUCAGGAAGAAACCCAAGAAAGAUGGCAUGGAAUCCAGCAAAGAAGGGAUCCAAUAUAGGAGAAAAACUAAGAGAAUCUCAAAAUGGUGAAGCAAAGUCACAGUAACAUAUGGAGAAGGCCUAGAAGGCAACAAAUCCAGACAGGAAUGUGACAGAGAAUCCAAGAUAGUUAUUUCUGAGGGAUUUUACAAAGGCACUGGAAGAUGUAAGAAAUUAAGCUUUAGGAAUGGCCUUCAUUGGUUGCAAUAGGAAGCGAAAGAGGAGACCUGAAAUCAAAUGAAAAAGCGAACUCAGCUGUCUUUCAAGGUCAUUGUUCAAUCUUCAACAGACUAUCUUCACUUGAAAAUUUGAUGAUGACAGCCGGGAGUGGUGGCUCACGCCUGUAAUCCUAGCACUUCGGGAGGCCGAGACGGCGGAUCACGAGGUCGAGUUCGAGACCAGCCUGGUCAACAUGUUGAAACCCAGUCUCUACUAAGAAUACAAAAAGAAUUAGCCGAGUGAAUCUCCAUCUCUACAAAAAACACAAAAAUUAGCCAGGUGUGGUGGUGUGCAUCUGUAGUCCCAGCUACUCAGAAGGCUGAGGCAGGAGAACCACUUGACUUGAGCCCAGGAAUUAGAGGCUGCAGUGAGCCAGGAUUGCGCCAUUGCACUAUCUGUAAACAAGAAAGGCAAUGGCAAUUGGACUCUAACCAUACAUCUUUAAAGUACAGUCUCACAUUUCAGGAGGAAGCCCAAGAGAGAUUUAAUCAGCAGGGUUUCUUUAUAAGUGAAUGUUCUGAAGCUGAGACCUGAAGGGUAAAUUAGGAGUUAAAAUACAAGAUGAGAGUAGCAAUUAGCUAGCACAUUAUAAAGCCAUUUCAGGUUACAAGUAAAAGUGAUACCCUUCCAAGGCCAGGUUAAGAACCUCAGAUGUUAUUCUAAACACAGUGGAGAAUUAUAAUUUAAAUAGCAUGACUUGGCUACAUCACUAUUUUAUGUAGCUGUUCCAGCAAUUCAUGUUCCCUUCAACUGCCCCUGCCCUCUCACUCAGCAGUCCAGUUGACUUUGUCCCUUCAUUUUAAAAAAACAAAAAAAACCCCCAACCCUGUCAAUAAACCACGAAAACUAGGAAGGCACGACAGCAAGUUUCAGUGCUUUAACACAGAAACACCCAAUUACCAAGUUGAGGGCUAAAAAAAUUCGACCAAGUAGUCCCACAUCAUUGCCUUUAGUCUACAAAUCUCAGGGAUUAUACUUGAUUUUCCUUUAUUUCCUGCUCAAUCUUUACUUGCACCCAGCCCUACUUUUUCUCAAACCUAUUUACAUAUUCUUAAGUUGACUCACACCUAGCAGGCUUUUUUCACUUAGCUAGCCACCUUACACACAGCCCACAAGUCAGGUGUGCCAAGUGAGCAUUACAGAUACUAGGAUAAGAUCAUCUUUUGAAAAACAGAAGCCACCUAAACUCCUACCCAUACGUUUCCAGUGGUACUCCCAAGCUCUAUGUGACUAAUAAUCAUCCCCCUAGUCAUGACAGCAUAGCAGAUGAACAUGUUGCUAAAGGUAAUUUAAACAUCAUACUCUUUCAAAUUUACUCAAACAUCUAAAAUACCCACCUAUGCCACAUGAGCUGUGCUAUUUUAAUCUGCUAUAUUGUCUUCCAGUGCCCUCUGCUUCAAGGACUCCUGGAAUUCUGCUUGUUUCUCAUUGCCUUUAACCGUGUUACAAAUCCAGUCCAAAAGUAAACAUUCCAAAACAGUCACUUAACAAGUAAAUCUGAUAUGAAGCUAGCCCAGUCCCUAAACCUACAGUAUUUCACUGAUACUACAAGCCUAAUUGAUUAAAAAUACCUUACCAAACACCAGAUAUGUAUUUUUUAAAACCAGAACAUUUAUUGCAUGACUAAUCGUUGACAUUCUUAAGAUGAACUGGAUGCUGCAACAGCUGCCCUCUUGGGUUUAGGUGUUGUUCCUUCACGGAAUCCAUGCCUGCACGAUGUCAAAAACAAGAACAAGUUACUUCAGCAACAUCGAUGCAUCCAUUUUAAUUUUUGUUAAACAGAUUUCAAUGCGCUUAUCUCAGUUAAAUGCUGAAAUCAAUACUGCAUUCAUAUGUUCAGACAUUUAUUUUUACAACAUCACUGAUAAGCUGCAAUUCUUUACUUCACUUUGCUUAAAGAUACCCAUUUUCGGAUAUAGUUAACUGCAACUGCAAUAAAGGCUCAAAAACUUAUUUGGCUAUACUAGUCAUUGGGCCAGUAUGUUUGUUCAUAUUUGGCAAGAGAUCACAGAUUAUUUGUGAAAAUGGUUCCCUAUACUGAGAAUAGAUCCCAACUACUUUCACUAAGCAAGGAAAAAACAAUUAGCAUGUUUAAUGGCAGACAUUUUCUAAACCAAGAGCUUUGCAUUUUAACUUAUUUAACAUCUGUAUCUACUCUAAGUAUCUACUCUAAGAAAGGUCAACUAUCCUACUUUUAAAAGCCUGGCUUCAGUUCAAGCUCUUAACUCCUAUAUUGUACUAACAGACCACUCAACAUUAAACCCACAAAAACGUUAUGACCCUAAAUGCAAAGAAAGUUGCUUCAGCACAUGAACACACCUAUGGGUGUCUACAAAGCCCUGAACUGUCUUGCUAUCUUUAAAACUGGACACUCCGGAGACUGAGUGGGUAGAGGCUAGGGAUUCUGCAAAAUAUUCAAUUUUGCACUGGACAAUCCCACCACAAAGAAUUAUCCAGCCCAAAAUAUCAACAGCUGAGAAUUGCUGAAAUAGAACAUAGUAACGGAAGGAGCACCAGCUUUAAAGUUAAGUCUGCAUCAUUCUGAAUCUUAGCUGAGAUCUUAGAUGGGUUAAUCUCUUAGAAACUACUCUUUAAUAUGCAGGUUCUCUCAGCUAAGUCUACAGCGGAGCUGAGAUUCUGCAUUUAUAACUCUAAGGCCAAGACUUGAGUAACAAGAGCCCAAGGCAACAGCAGCAACCAGGGCAAUUUUCUACAGCACUCUUGCCCACAGCCACUAUACUAAAGGUUGAACCAAGCCUGACUCCAGACCUUAUUCACUACUGUCUUGACAAAUUUUGACACCAAGUAAACCUAAUAAAUAUCAACACUUUGGGACCC